UACGGGGGGUGCAAGCGUUACUCGGAAUCACUGGGCGUAAAGAGCAUGUAGGCGGAUUAAUAAGUCUGAAGUGAAAUCCUAUAGCUUAACUAUAGAACUGCUUUUGAAACUGUUAAUCUAGAAUGUGGGAGAGGUUGAUGGAAUUUCUGGUGUAGUGGUAAAAUCCGUAGAGAUCAGGAGGAAUACCGAUUGCGAAGGCGGUCUACUGGACCAUUAUUGACGCUGAGAUUCGAAAGCGUGGGGAGCAAACAGG
RNAcentral lists this ribosomal RNA (253 nucleotides) under uncultured bacterium. RNAcentral's name for it is "partial 16S ribosomal RNA". It matches the Rfam family "Bacterial small subunit ribosomal RNA", at positions 524 to 776 of the family's 1533-position model. The record is from RNAcentral.